CGUAGGGUGCAAGCGUUGUCCGGAAUUAUUGGGCGUAAAGAGCUCGUAGGCGGCUUGUCGCGUCGGAUGUGAAAGCCCGGGGCUUAAACCCCGGGUUUGCAUACGAUACGGGCAGGCUAGAGUUCGGUAGGGGAGAUCGGAAUUCCUGGUGUAGCGGUGAAAUGCGCAGAUAUCAGGAGGAACACCGGUGGCGAAGGCGGAUCUCUGGGCCGAUACUGACGCUGAGGAGCGAAAGCGUGGGGCAGCGAACAGGAUU
This 256-nucleotide ribosomal RNA is filed under the name uncultured bacterium. Its description in RNAcentral is "partial 16S ribosomal RNA". It matches the Rfam family "Bacterial small subunit ribosomal RNA", at positions 526 to 779 of the family's 1533-position model. The record is from RNAcentral.